This 254-nucleotide ribosomal RNA is filed under the name uncultured bacterium. RNAcentral describes it as "partial 16S ribosomal RNA". It matches the Rfam family "Bacterial small subunit ribosomal RNA", at positions 524 to 776 of the family's 1533-position model. The record is from RNAcentral.
UACGAAGGGGGCUAGCGUUGUCCGGAUUUAUUGGGCGUAAAGAGCGUGUAGGCGGCCAGCACAAGUCAGUUGUGAAAUCUCCGAGCUUAACUCGGAAAGGUCAACUGAUACUGUGCGGCUAGAGUGCGGAAGGGGCAACUGGAAUUCUUGGUGUAGCGGUGAAAUGCGUAGAUAUCAAGAGGAACACCUGCGGCGAAGGCGGGUUGCUGGGCCGACACUGACGCUGAGGCGCGAAAGCGUGGGGAGCAAACAGG